CGCAGGCGGCCAAGUAAGUCGAAUGUGAAAGCCCCCGGCUCAACUGGGGAAGGUCAUUCGAUACUGUUUGGCUUGAAGAUAGGAGAGGGAAGCGGAAUUUCCGGUGUAGUGGUGAAAUGCGUAGAUAUCGGAAGGAACACCAGUGGCGAAGGCGGCUUUCUGGCCUAUUCUUGACGCUGAGGCGCGAAAGCUAGGGAAGCGAACG
This 205-nucleotide ribosomal RNA is filed under the name uncultured bacterium. Its description in RNAcentral is "partial 16S ribosomal RNA". It matches the Rfam family "Bacterial small subunit ribosomal RNA", at positions 570 to 774 of the family's 1533-position model. The record is from RNAcentral.